UGUUGCCUUUCGAGAGAGAGAGAAAGAAACCACCCAUUUUCGUAGAGAGAUACGAGUAAAUUAAAAACGAGGGGGAUCUGGAUCUCGUUAUUCUAAAAAAUCAGAUGAUUUUUGUGAUGAUAUUUGUGAUCAGCUAUGGCGCAUAUGCUAAAACAGCUUCAGAAAAGUCUCUCAUGAAGUCAAGAUAAUAUCGCAUAGCCCGGUUAUGUAAUAGUUGAUGUCUUGGCGACCUAUAAUGUAAUACCCAACUUUUCAUUAUGUAUAUAUGUUAUUAGGAUCUAAAACGUGUAAGAUAGUGUAGAUGAAAAUAAACUGUAUCACAAAUUUAAUUUGCAAUCACUUCUUCCAAAAGAUAGAUUAGACUUGCUGUAGUGGGUGGUGUUUUUUCUUGUGUCUUGGAUAAUCGUUAUUGGCACAAAUAUUUUGCAAUCUUUUUGCAGUUAGUUAAAGCUUCGAGAUAAUUUUAGAUUGUGUAAAGUUAUUCUUUUUUUAGACCAUUAUUUGUAUCUCUUGAUCA
Molecule: long non-coding RNA, 517 nt
Organism: Erigeron canadensis
Lineage: Eukaryota; Viridiplantae; Streptophyta; Magnoliopsida; Asterales; Asteraceae
Exons: 3
Source: RefSeq, a predicted model, not a curated record